This 253-nucleotide ribosomal RNA is filed under the name uncultured bacterium. RNAcentral's name for it is "partial 16S ribosomal RNA". It matches the Rfam family "Bacterial small subunit ribosomal RNA", at positions 524 to 776 of the family's 1533-position model. The record is from RNAcentral.
UACGAGGGGGGCGAGCGUUGUUCGGAAUUAUUGGGCGUAAAGGGUGCGUAGGCGGUUUGAUAAGUCUUAUGUGAAAUCUACAGGCUCAACUUGUAGUCUGCAUGAGAAACUGCCGGGCUUGAGUAUGGGAGAGGUGAGUGGAAUUCCUGGUGUAGCGGUGAAAUGCGUAGAUAUCAGGAGGAACACCUGUGGCGAAAGCGGCUCACUGGACCAUAACUGACGCUGAUGCACGAAAGCUAGGGGAGCAAACAGG